UACGAAGGGUGCAAACGUUGUUCGGAAUUACUGGGCAUAAAGCGCACGUAGGUGGUCCGCUAAGUCGCGUGUGAAAUCCCCCGGCUCAACCGGGGAAAUGCGCGUGAUACUGGCGGGCUUGAGAUCGGGAGGGGGGAAUGGAACUCCAGGUGGAGCGGUGAAAUGCGUAGAUAUCUGGAGGAACACCGGUGGCGAAAGCGGUUCACUGGCCCGACACUGACACUGAGGUGCGAAAGCUAGGGUAGCAAACGGG
RNAcentral lists this ribosomal RNA (253 nucleotides) under uncultured bacterium. RNAcentral's name for it is "partial 16S ribosomal RNA". It matches the Rfam family "Bacterial small subunit ribosomal RNA", at positions 524 to 776 of the family's 1533-position model. The record is from RNAcentral.